This 301-nucleotide ribosomal RNA is filed under the name uncultured bacterium. Its description in RNAcentral is "partial 16S ribosomal RNA". It matches the Rfam family "Bacterial small subunit ribosomal RNA", at positions 509 to 807 of the family's 1533-position model. The record is from RNAcentral.
CAGCCGCCGCGGUAACACGUAGGGUGCAAGCGUUAAUCGGAAUUACUGGGCGUAAAGCGUGCGCAGGCGGUUCGCUAAGACAGAUGUGAAAUCCCCGGGCUUAACCUGGGAACUGCAUUUGUGACUGGCGGGCUAGAGUAUGGCAGAGGGGGGUAGAAUUCCACGUGUAGCAGUGAAACGCGUAGAGAUGUGGAGGAAUACCGAUGGCGAAGGCAGCCCCCUGGGAUAACACUGACGUUCAUGCUCGAAAGCGUGGGUAGCAAACAGGAUUAGAUACCCCAGUAGUCCCUGUCUCUUAUAC